RNAcentral lists this ribosomal RNA (356 nucleotides) under Deltaproteobacteria bacterium. RNAcentral describes it as "bacterial SSU rRNA". It matches the Rfam family "Bacterial small subunit ribosomal RNA", at positions 1189 to 1533 of the family's 1533-position model. The record is from RNAcentral. Lineage: Bacteria; Pseudomonadati; Myxococcota; Myxococcia. RNAcentral also lists the same sequence under 1 other name.
GUCAGCAUGGCCCUUACGCCCUGGGCUACACACACGCUACAAUGGCCGGCACAACGGGCUGCUAAAGCGCGAGCUGGAGCUAAUCCCCCAAAGUCGGCCCCAGUUCAGAUUGCAGGCUGCAAUUUGCCUGCAUGAAGGCGGAGUCGCUAGUAACCGCAGGUCAGCAAUACUGCGGUGAAUACGUUCCCGGGCCUUGUACACACCGCCCGUCACGUCAUGGAAGCCGGCAGCACCUGAAGCCGCUGAGCCAACGCGCAAGCGAGGCAGGCGCCUAGGGUGAGGCGGGUAACUGUGACGAAGUCGUAACAAGGUAGCCGUACGGGAACGUGCGGCUGGAUCACCUCCUUUCUAGGGAG